AUUUGGACAAGGUGCUCUGUUUUGUGGAUUGUCCCAAAAAGAGCAUCUUGUCCAUAGAG
Monodelphis domestica (gray short-tailed opossum) is the source of this 59-nucleotide microRNA precursor. Ensembl annotates it as mdo-mir-7371q. Lineage: Eukaryota; Metazoa; Chordata; Mammalia; Didelphimorphia; Didelphidae. The record is from Ensembl.